GGAGAGGUGGCUGAGUGGCUGAAGGCGGCUUCCUGCUAAGAAGUUAUACGACCCAAAAGUUGUAUCGAGGGUUCAAAUCCCUCCCUCUCCG
Molecule: transfer RNA, 91 nt
Filed under: Patescibacteria group bacterium
Lineage: Bacteria
Description: tRNA-Ser
Rfam family: tRNA
About the family: Transfer RNA (tRNA) molecules are approximately 80 nucleotides in length. Their secondary structure includes four short double-helical elements and three loops (D, anti-codon, and T loops).
Source: RNAcentral